AAGGGCACAGUUGCUAUCGGUUAGGGACGAAUGCUGCUGACUCAGUCACUCUAUCCUGUCGACGAAUCAAAUCCAUAUUUACUGAGUCACAAUCGAGUGUGCCCAACCUCAUCGAACUUGCCUACUUCCUACCCGAAUCCAAUCACUUCACGUGGCCUUCAGCUCGAGCUGUUCUAUGCUUGCACGCCAAAAUCUCCAAUUUAAUUAACUUAUAAUCCUAAUUCUCUUCUAUUAACAUACACUUCUUCUCCUUCCUUAGGAAAGCAAUAGCAAGUGACGAUGCAAAGGCUGUUUGCAGCGAGGUCUCUCUGUUCUUCGAUUUUAAGGAAGCAGACACAGCGUGCUUCUUUCUCUACUUCUCUCCUUUUGGACGAUACUCAGCUUCAGUUUAAGGAAAGUGUUUCCCAAUUUACUCAAGAAAACAUUGCUCCUCACUCAUCGAAAAUAGACCAAACCAAUAAUUUCCCCAAGGAUGUUAACUUGUGGAAACUGAUGGGGGAUUUUAAUCUACUUGGAAUUACGGCACCAGAGGAAUAUGGAGGACUUGGUCUUGGUUACUUGUAUCACUGCAUAGCUAUGGAAGAAAUUAGCCGUGCUUCAGGAUCUGUUGGCCUUUCCUACGGUGCCCAUUCUAACCUCUGCAUUAAUCAGUUGGUGAGGAAUGGAAGUCCUGCUCAGAAACAGAAGUACUUGCCAAAGGUUCUAUUUCCUUACCUUUUUUCCCUUAAUCAUUCUUUUCCAUUCUACCAUUUCCACCAUUCCAUCUAGCUGAAUGACAUAUUCUGGCAAGACUGCAGUUAUUUCCUUCUGCACCAAAGAAAUGAUGAUUUUGCUAUAAUAGUUCUUUAUGAUCAAACUUAAAUUAAUUUUAUUAUCCAUCUGUUGCCUGAAAUGUUUUUACCAAAAUUUCAUUUUAACUGACCAAUUAUAUAUUGUUGCAAAGCUUAUCAGUGGAGAGCAUGUGGGAGCUCUUGCAAUGAGUGAACCCAAUGGUACGUCUUAUUUUUAACUUAUGCUGGACUGAUGAGGGGAAUGUAGCUUUUUCUUUAUUUAUUCUGGCCAAUUUCUUUGUGUUUUUCUUCAGCUGGCUCUGAUGUUGUUAGCAUGAAAUGCAAAGCUGAUCGUGCAGAUGGGGGCUAUAUUCUAAAUGGGAACAAGAUGUGGUGCACAAAUGGGCCAGUUGCUCAGACAUUGGUAAUUUUGUUGAGACUGCAUUUUUAACUUUUUUUUUAAUAUAAAGUUGCUCCCUUUUUUUGAACUUAUAAUUUCUUAAUGAUCCAUUUAUUUUUCUUUGAGGUAAAUUAUCUUGGUGAUAUUUCAAUAUGAUCCUUAUCUCAAUUUAUUUGUCAUUCAAAAACUAUUUAAAAAUUAUUUCAUCAAGGUCACGGUUGUAUGGACUGAUAUGUCAUCUGCAUCAAUAGUCAGGAUCCAAGGUGAAAUAUUUAUGAGGUACAUGUGACGAUAUAACCUACCAAAGUGAAUGCCACGGUGGAUGCCAGCAGGGGCAUAUUCAGAGUGAUUUUAAUUUAGUUCUAUCAAACACGGAGAGUGGUAUUUCAUAAUUUUGCAGUAUAACUAGGCACUUAGAGAAUAAGGCAGCACAUGUGAUUAUGUAGAAGCAAGUCUAUGCUCUUGCAGGAAUGGAAUUUAUUCACAAAAUUUGUCAAGUACUUUAAAACUAUAACAUUCAACUCGUAAAAUCUUAUUGUUGUUUCAGAUUUGGUUAAAGAAAGUGCUGUUACUUGUAACGUAAUGCAUUUUGCUUCUCUAUCUUUCCUCAAAGUAUCAAUGUUUUCAUGCACAGAGUUUGUUCUGGCACACAUUGGUUAUAGCUCACACAGCUAUCCUUUCGGCUCUGGUUACCUGUAUCAUAUUUUGUUUCAUGAAGAUCUCUUAUUUGUUGAAAGUGACAUGUAGAGUUGUUUACA
RNAcentral lists this unclassified non-coding RNA (1928 nucleotides) under Hevea brasiliensis (rubber tree). Lineage: Eukaryota; Viridiplantae; Streptophyta; Magnoliopsida; Malpighiales; Euphorbiaceae. The record is from RNAcentral.